CGGGCGGUGGCGCAGAUGUUAGCGCGCUUGGUUUGGGAUCAAGAGGUCGCUGGUUCAACUCCAGCCUGCCCGA
RNAcentral lists this transfer RNA (73 nucleotides) under Spirochaetaceae bacterium. RNAcentral's name for it is "tRNA-Pro". It matches the Rfam family "tRNA". Rfam says of the family: Transfer RNA (tRNA) molecules are approximately 80 nucleotides in length. Their secondary structure includes four short double-helical elements and three loops (D, anti-codon, and T loops). Further hydrogen bonds mediate the characteristic L-shaped molecular structure. tRNAs have two regions of fundamental functional importance: the anti-codon, which is responsible for specific mRNA codon recognition, and the 3' end, to which the tRNAs corresponding amino acid is attached (by aminoacyl-tRNA synthetases). tRNAs cope with the degeneracy of the genetic code in two manners: having more than one tRNA (with a specific anti-codon) for a particular amino acid; and 'wobble' base-pairing, i.e. permitting non-standard base-pairing at the 3rd anti-codon position. Lineage: Bacteria; Pseudomonadati; Spirochaetota; Spirochaetia; Spirochaetales; Spirochaetaceae. The record is from RNAcentral.